UACGUAGGGUGCGAGCGUUGUCCGGAAUUAUUGGGCGUAAAGGGCUCGUAGGCGGUUUGUCGCGUCGGGAGUGAAAACUCGAGGCUCAACCUCGGGCUUGCAGUGGGUACGGGCAGACUAGAGUGCGGUAGGGGUGACUGGAAUUCCUGGUGUAGCGGUGGAAUGCGCAGAUAUCAGGAGGAACACCGAUGGCGAAGGCAGGUCACUGGGCCGCAACUGACGCUGAGGAGCGAAAGCAUGGGGAGCGAACAGG
This 253-nucleotide ribosomal RNA is filed under the name uncultured bacterium. Its description in RNAcentral is "partial 16S ribosomal RNA". It matches the Rfam family "Bacterial small subunit ribosomal RNA", at positions 524 to 776 of the family's 1533-position model. The record is from RNAcentral.